This 869-nucleotide long non-coding RNA is filed under the name Aotus nancymaae (Ma's night monkey). Its description in RNAcentral is "lncRNA (ENSANAG00000038602.1)". The record is from RNAcentral. Lineage: Eukaryota; Metazoa; Chordata; Mammalia; Primates; Aotidae.
CAGGGUUUCAGAGAUGGUCCAGCCAGAAACCAUUACUAAGGGGUUACUUUACUGAGCAUCUUGGCGUCUGGCACAGGGUAGGGCUCAUAGAACUAAUGCAGAAACGAACCCACUUGGUUGGCCGAUAGAUGCUCUUCCUGCCGCUCACAAAGCCCUCGCAGGCUUCAUGCCUGCUGAUAUUUCCCAGGCUACACCCUCUCUCAGGGCAUUUUGCUUUUAACAGCAUCAAAAUGCCAUACUAAGGGACUAGCCCAGAGCUGUGUGGACUUAUGUGUGGCAUUAAGGAAAGAGAGGGCAUCAGUCACCCUGAGAUAAUCAUGCAUCCCUGGGAGCACCCUACAUGCUUCUGCCUUGGAAGCUGCCUUCCUCCUGCUUCUCUUGUCGCCUCUGCUGACUUGUAUUGCUUCAUGUCAGCAACCCACGUGGAUGGCCGGGUGGCUCUGAGAGAGCUCAGUGCCUUCUAGGGUCAAACAGCUCAUCGAGGAAGAAGGAAGUGGAUGAUGCUCACAGGCGCUCUGGCAGGUGCUGGCCCCGUGGCUGCUGAGCAGUGGAAGCACCAGUCAGAUGAAGAAACUCAGCAUGUAGACACUCUUACCCAGAUGAACUGCAGGAUGUCCCAAUCUCAGCUUUCCAUCUCAGCCAUCAAGUCAGGGCCAACCUUCUCAGAUCCUUCUCUGGGCUCUGUUAUCAGACGGUGGCAUAUUUUGCUGCUCAUUUCAUCCACUUCAUGCCAAGUUUCCCCAACAAGUGAUGUUUUUUCUCAUCGUAUAACUUCAGUUGAUGUGUGUAAUAGAGGUAACUUCUGUUGCACAGACCCAUGCAUGUAUUUUAUGUUCUGGUAUAAUCUGUUUUUAUAUAUUUUUCAGUAA